This 613-nucleotide ribosomal RNA is filed under the name Achaius oratorius albizonellus. RNAcentral describes it as "eukaryotic LSU rRNA". It matches the Rfam family "Eukaryotic large subunit ribosomal RNA", at positions 417 to 780 of the family's 3401-position model. The record is from RNAcentral. Lineage: Eukaryota; Metazoa; Arthropoda; Insecta; Hymenoptera; Ichneumonidae.
AAACCUGAGAAACCCGAAAGAUCGAAUGGGGAGAUUCAUCGUCAGCGAUUCCGGUACGUGUGCGGCUCGCGAUGUCCGAGACUUCGGUCUCGCGACACGCGUCCGCAUGUUUUUUAUUGCUGGAAUCGUCGGCGUGCACUUCUCCCCUAGUAGGACGUCGCGACCCGUUGGGUGUCGGUCUACGGCACGGUAGGGCAGCCUGUCACGCGUGCGCUUCACGGCGUUACGCGGGGCAGACCUCCGUUCGCCCGACCGACUGCUCGGCGGUACUCGCAUGGUAUCUGGCCGCAGACAUACGAACUGCGUCCGGCCCGUCGCAAGCGCGGCAAGUGUUUCCCGGCUGUACGGAUCUAAUGCCGUCACCGGGCCUUGCCAGCUGUUGGUUGACGGUGUCCUAGGACUGGCUAACAGAUACCGGUCGGCGACGCUACUGCUUUGGGUACUUUCAGGACCCGUCUUGAAACACGGACCAAGGAGUCUAACAUGUGCGCGAGUCAUUGGGAGCUAUUAAGCCUAAAGGCGCAAUGAAAGUGAAGAUCGGCCUCGCGCCGAUCGAGGGAGGAUGGGCCGCGUCACGAUGCGGUCCCGCACUCCCGGGGCGUCUCGUUCUCAU